AACAAAGAGAAUGGACUAGGUUCAGUUUCUUCAUGUGCAUCAACUGUUCUCCAAGUUUCAGUCAACUACAGCUGUGCAACUGAAGGCAGUGGAGAUGCCCAAAUGUGUCCCUGAGUGAAAUUCUGAGAGCAGCUGAAACAGUACAGUGCUCGGAUAAAGAAAAGAGCAACCCAUGCCAGUGAUUUUCUUCAACAUACCACCAGAAAGACAUAUAUGAGGAUUGCACAGAUCACCUUACCUCCCACAUAACAUCGGUGUGGCAGCCACUACAAUUGUCUAAUGUGGAUAAUAAACGAUAGAGAAGA
Molecule: long non-coding RNA, 305 nt
Organism: Chelonia mydas (Green sea turtle)
Lineage: Eukaryota; Metazoa; Chordata; Testudines; Cheloniidae
Exons: 3
Source: RefSeq, a predicted model, not a curated record